UUCUGGUACAAAUAGCAGAUGAGAGAGCCCUUUCGCACUUUUUGCCUGCUAUGAAAAAGUAAGAAUGAAGUACUCUAUUCGGGGAAAUACUAGGUAUGUCCCAUACGAUACGCUAUAAACUACUUUAGUCUAGUAGCUUAGCUUAAGAAGGGGGAAGCACAUAAUGAAAGAAUAUGAAGAGUUUUCUAUUCCAUUUGAUCUCCCUUGCCUUCCACUUGAAGAGAGUUCUAAGGAGUUGUAAACCCUCAAGAUAGAUCCCAAUUUUGCAAUCAUUGUAUAGUGAUAACAGAAAGUUCGAGAGCCUCCUCAACUCCCGUAGCCGGUCGAUCAUCUUGCUUUCCCUCUCCCUUCGGUCGAGUACAAUUUCAUUCCCUUGAGCUCAUGCUCUUGCAGGAGCUCAAACAGUUCGAGCGUUAGAAGCAGCAGAGUCAAGGUAGCAUUCCCUGUUAGCAAUACUCUAGUAUUUAGUCAAACAAAGAAUUGACUAAGGCCUAGAAGAACUAUCGAAAAAGGGCUAAUUUUCAUAUCAGAGAAAAAGAAGGGGAAGCUUCAACUUGCCCAACAGCCCCUUAGAAGGCUUUCCAUGUAACGUAUCCGUAGAAAGGAAAGGGAAUCAAAACUUCGGUAGGGGAGGAAGACAUAAAGACGGAACAAACUAUUCGUCUACCCGGACGGCAGAUUACUCGGACAUAGAGACGGAACAAACAAGUCAUCGCAUCAUGUUCGGCACUGUAUAGCUACACAGACUAACUUACCACAAACAAUCCAUCGCACGACUUACAACCGGACAAUGGGUCUGCCCGGCACUACGGGCUUGGAACUGCUUUGAACAUCACCGCACCGCCGGAACGCACCACAAAUCUUUCUCCUUGUCAACUCACUUAUGAAAAGCCUGAGCGGACCAAGGUAAGGGAAGGACUGACCUGAGCGUCUUACCAAGGGCUUGACCUGAUGAUCGGAUAAAGAGACUUAGCCGCGCCGGAACGAACGAGCCGAAAGCCAAGACAGAACGAAGCGCGAACAAC
RNAcentral lists this long non-coding RNA (1025 nucleotides) under Amborella trichopoda. RNAcentral describes it as "long non-coding RNA (ATRI_LNC005133)". The record is from RNAcentral. Lineage: Eukaryota; Viridiplantae; Streptophyta; Magnoliopsida; Amborellales; Amborellaceae.